RNAcentral lists this ribosomal RNA (545 nucleotides) under uncultured bacterium. RNAcentral's name for it is "bacterial SSU rRNA". It matches the Rfam family "Bacterial small subunit ribosomal RNA", at positions 777 to 1320 of the family's 1533-position model. The record is from RNAcentral.
AAUAGAUACCCGGGUAGUCCACGCCGUAAACGAUGAGUGCUAAGUGUUGGGGGGUUUCCGCCCCUCAGUGCUGCAGCUAACGCAUUAAGCACUCCGCCUGGGGAGUACGGUCGCAAGACUGAAACUCAAAGGAAUUGACGGGGGCCCGCACAAGCGGUGGAGCAUGUGGUUUAAUUCGAAGCAACGCGAAGAACCUUACCAGGUCUUGACAUCCCGGUGACCACUAUGGAGACAUAGUUUCCCCUUCGGGGGCAACGGUGACAGGUGGUGCAUGGUUGUCGUCAGCUCGUGUCGUGAGAUGUUGGGUUAAGUCCCGCAACGAGCGCAACCCUUAUUCUUAGUUGCCAUCAUUUAGUUGGGCACUCUAAGGAGACUGCCGGUGAUAAACCGGAGGAAGGUGGGGAUGACGUCAAAUCAUCAUGCCCCUUAUGACCUGGGCUACACACGUGCUACAAUGGACGGUACAAACGGUUGCCAACCCGCGAGGGGGAGCUAAUCCGAUAAAACCGUUCUCAGUUCGGAUUGUAGGCUGCAACUCGCCUACA